RNAcentral lists this ribosomal RNA (301 nucleotides) under uncultured bacterium. Its description in RNAcentral is "partial 16S ribosomal RNA". It matches the Rfam family "Bacterial small subunit ribosomal RNA", at positions 509 to 807 of the family's 1533-position model. The record is from RNAcentral.
CAGCCGCCGCGGUAAAACGGAGGAUGCGAGCGUUAUCCGGAUUUAUUGGGUUUAAAGGGUGCGUAGGCUGUCGGUUAAGUCAGCGGUGAAAUCAGCACGCUUAACGUGUUGUUUGCCGUUGAAACUGUCCGUCUUGAAUGCGCUCGUCGUGGGAGGAAUGUGUGGUGUAGCGGUGAAAUGCAUAGAUAUCACACAGAACACCGAUUGCGAAGGCAUCUCACGAGAGCGUUAUUGACGCUGAUGCACGAAAGCGCGGGUAUCGAACAGGAUUAGAGACCCCAGUAGUCCCUGUCUCUUAUAC